Aotus nancymaae (Ma's night monkey) is the source of this 107-nucleotide small nuclear RNA. Lineage: Eukaryota; Metazoa; Chordata; Mammalia; Primates; Aotidae. The record is from Ensembl.
GUGCUCACUUCAGCAGCACAUAUACUAAAAUUGGAAUGAUACAGAGAAGAUUAGCAUGGCUCCUGUACAAGGACAACACAAUGCUUUUCAAGAAUUUAAAAAGACGG